Molecule: ribosomal RNA, 619 nt
Filed under: Staphylococcus epidermidis
Lineage: Bacteria; Bacillati; Bacillota; Bacilli; Caryophanales; Staphylococcaceae
Description: bacterial SSU rRNA
Rfam family: Bacterial small subunit ribosomal RNA
Source: RNAcentral
UGACGGAGCAACGCCGCGUGAGUGAUGAAGGUCUUCGGACGUAAAACUCUGUAUUAGGGAAGAACAAAUGUGUAAGUAACUAUGCACGUCUUGACGGUACCUAAUCAGAAAGCCACGGCUAACUACGUGCCAGCAGCGCGGUAAUACGUAGGUGGCAAGCGUUAUCCGGAAUUAUUGGGCGUAAAGCGCGCGUAGGCGGAUUUUUAAGUCUGAUGUGAAAGCCCACGGCUCAACCGUGGAGGGUCAUUGGGAAACUGGAAAACUUGAGUGCAGAAGAGGAUAGUGGAAUUCCAUGUGUAGCGGUGAAAUGCGCAGAGAUAUGGAGGAACACCAGUGGCGAAGGCGACUUUCUGGUCUGUAACUGACGCUGAUGUGCGAAAAGCGUGGGGAUCAAACAGGAUUAGAUACCCUGGUAGUCCACGCCGUAAACGCUGAGUGCUAAGUGUUAGGGGGUUUCCGCCCCUUAGUGCUGCAGCUAACGCAUUAAGCACUCCGCCUGGGGAGUACGACCACAAGGUUGAAACUCAAAGGAAUUGACGGGGACCCGCACAAGCGGUGGAGCAUGUGGUUUAAUUCGAAGCGACGCGAAGAACCUUACCAAAUCUUGACAUCCUCUGAC